GUCAGUUUUCAAAACAUUGAUAAUAAUUUUAGGUUAUAAUUUCACAAAAAAAUGAUUCUUCAUAGUAAAAUUAAUAUUAUGUUUCGUAAUCUUUCGUCUGUACGUUUGACAACGAAUAGAACAUUUAAGAAUUUUGGCCACAAACGGGAACAAAUUCCUCUUGUUACCACAUUAUGGCAUGGGUUCCUUACCUUUACUUUCAUUGGAACGGCAUUGAAUUGGGACGCAAUAAACAAAUUCAUUUUUGGUGACAAGGACUUUGAUGAAGAUAUUCAAAAGUCUCUGGCAUACAAGAUCGUAGAAGAUUAGGUAACAGGUUUGGGAUUUUAGUCAAUUAUAAUGUAAAUUUUAGGAAUUAGUAAUAAUUUGUAAACGCGUACAACUAAAUGUAAAAUAUACUUUUAAGAUAA
Long non-coding RNA from Ostrinia nubilalis (European corn borer), 410 nucleotides. RefSeq lists it as uncharacterized. NCBI's taxonomy places the organism in Eukaryota, Metazoa, Arthropoda, Insecta, Lepidoptera, Crambidae. The transcript has 2 exons. The record is from RefSeq and is a predicted model, not a curated record.